GAUUAAAGACUGAGCACAGGGGACAAGUUAUCCCCCUUCCUCCCCUGCCAGUGCAUUUAAUCAUUGCAAACAGUGCACUGCUGCACUGGUAAGAAGCAUCCUGAAGCCCGAAAAGGGGGCGGGGCUAAACGGCACUGUACACAGUGCAAUGCCAGCCAGCAGCAUGGGAAAGAGGAGAGGAAGAGCAGCAGUACAGCCUAAAUAGGGGAGAUUGGUCCUGCUGGUGAAUAUCGAUGGCACAGUCCAGGAGCGGUAGUCAAGUAUAAUAGAGGUCAGAGAUACUAGUAAACUGACAGAAUCCAAAGAACAUAUCAAGAUCUGUACCUGUGAUAAGCUAUCCCUGGCUAUAUAAGAAAACAAUUGAUUGAAUUGAUUGGGCAUCAGGCAAGAUAACAAGAUUCUCUGACUGUUCCCAUUAGGGAGUACGUUGACGUCUUCUACUAAACAACAGCUGAUGAACUCCCUCAUCACAGACAUUUUGAUUGUACCAUUGACCUUAACUCUGGAGCAGAGCUCCCUAAAUAGAAAUGAUAUCCUCUCUCUCUCUCUCUCUCUCUCUCUCUCUCU
This is a long non-coding RNA of Pseudophryne corroboree (corroboree frog), 567 nucleotides long. RefSeq lists it as uncharacterized. NCBI's taxonomy places the organism in Eukaryota, Metazoa, Chordata, Amphibia, Anura, Myobatrachidae. The record is from RefSeq and is a predicted model, not a curated record. The transcript is spliced from 3 exons.